AAGAUAUUUGUUUGCCCCGAACCCUCUUUUAUUUAAGGAAUUAUCUCUUUUAUCUGCAUUUAGUCUUGUAUUAUUUUUUUGAUGCAGACAACUAGAGUUGACUAUUUCCAAUCCAAUGCAUUCUUUUAAUUUUUUUUUUUUUUUUUUGUAUGAUCACUAUUUCUUUCUAAAUUUGUUCAUGAACCUUUCUUCCUGCUACAAAUUGUGACAGAGGCCCAAAUUCUUUAUGGCAAACGGAAAAAUCUACCAGGCAAUUAAUUUGGAUACUUUAAGGGCUCAGAACAUGGAAACUUGUCCAUUUUUCAGUCAGGAUAUCAAGAGGCAACGAGGGAAACCUGUUCAUUUUAAGAAUGGUAGAUCCAUCCUACAGAGGUCCUCUUUAAUGUAGCUGUUGCGGGAACUUUUGUCAAGGCAGUUGAAUUGUGAAGGUACUUAUCAAUUUAUAGAUCAAAUUUUGUUGUAUAUGUAGAAUAUGUGGAUGUACCUUGUCAUACAUUUUUAAAGCAUAAUCAAUAUGCAUUUUUGUCACAGGCUUGAAAAGCUUCCAUAAUUUAAA
Long non-coding RNA from Cornus florida, 556 nucleotides. RefSeq lists it as uncharacterized. Lineage: Eukaryota; Viridiplantae; Streptophyta; Magnoliopsida; Cornales; Cornaceae. The transcript is spliced from 2 exons. The record is from RefSeq and is a predicted model, not a curated record.